Molecule: non-coding RNA, 73 nt
Organism: Podarcis lilfordi (Lilford's wall lizard)
Lineage: Eukaryota; Metazoa; Chordata; Lepidosauria; Squamata; Lacertidae
Source: the annotation of a GenBank genome assembly
GCCAGGAUAGCUUAGUUGGUAGAGAAGGAGACUCUUAAUCUCAGGGUUGUGGGUUUGAGGCACAUGGUGGGCA